Molecule: non-coding RNA, 106 nt
Organism: Equus caballus (horse)
Lineage: Eukaryota; Metazoa; Chordata; Mammalia; Perissodactyla; Equidae
Source: Rfam
AUCCUUUCAUGUUGCUUUGUUUAGCCCAGAUGAGAGGCUGCAUGGCCCCUUCUCUGGGCAAAGGCCGUGCCCUUCACCUCUCUUGUCCCCUGCUUUUGGACACUAC